GAUGAACGCUGGCGGCGUGCCUAAUACAUGCAAGUCGAGCGAACAGACGAGGAGCUUGCUCCUCUGACGUUAGCGGCGGACGGGUGAGUAACACGUGGAUAACCUACCUAUAAGACUGGGAUAACUUCGGGAAACCGGAGCUAAUACCGGAUAAUAUAUUGAACCGCAUGGUUCAAUAGUGAAAGACGGUUUUGCUGUCACUUAUAGAUGGUUCCGCGCCGCAUUAGCUAGUUGGUAAGGUAACGGCUUACCAAGGCAACGAUGCGUAGCCGACCUGAGAGGGUGAUCGGCCACACUGGAACUGAGACACGGUCAAGACGCCUAAGGGAGGCAGCAGUAGGGAAUCUUCCGCAAUGGGCGAAAGCCUGACGGAGCAACGCCGCGUGAGUGAUGAAGGUCUUCGGAUCGUAAAACUCUGUUAUUAGGGAAGAACAAAUGUGUAAGUAACUAUGCACGUCUUGACGGUACCUAAUCAGAAAGCCACGGCUAACUACGUG
This 497-nucleotide ribosomal RNA is filed under the name uncultured bacterium. RNAcentral's name for it is "partial 16S ribosomal RNA". It matches the Rfam family "Bacterial small subunit ribosomal RNA", at positions 28 to 507 of the family's 1533-position model. The record is from RNAcentral.